UUACACAUGCAAGUCGAGCGGAAACGACAACAUUGACUCUUCGGAUGAUUUGUUGGGCGUCGAGCGGCGGACGGGUGAGUAAUGCCUAGGAAGUUGCCCGGUAGAGGGGGAUAACCAUUGGAAACGAUGGCUAAUACCGCAUGAUCUCUACGGAGCAAAGCAGGGGACCUUCGGGCCUUGUGCUACCGGAUACGCCUAGGUGGGAUUAGCUAGUUGGUGAGGUAAUGGCUCACCAAGGCGACGAUCCCUAGCUGGUCUGAGAGGAUGAUCAGCCACACUGGAACUGAGACACGGUCCAGACUCCUACGGGAGGCAGCAGUGGGGAAUAUUGCACAAUGGGCGAAAGCCUGAUGCAGCCAUGCCGCGUGUAUGAAGAAGGCCUUCGGGUUGUAAAGUACUUUCAGUUGU
Molecule: ribosomal RNA, 408 nt
Filed under: Vibrio sp. P5-21
Lineage: Bacteria; Pseudomonadati; Pseudomonadota; Gammaproteobacteria; Vibrionales; Vibrionaceae
Description: bacterial SSU rRNA
Rfam family: Bacterial small subunit ribosomal RNA
Source: RNAcentral